Molecule: ribosomal RNA, 105 nt
Filed under: Meriones unguiculatus (Mongolian gerbil)
Lineage: Eukaryota; Metazoa; Chordata; Mammalia; Rodentia; Muridae
Source: RNAcentral
CUCUACAGCCAUACCACCCUAGACACUUCUGAUCUUGGAACCUAGCAGGGUCAGGCCUGGUUAAUACUUAGAUAGGAGACCUCCUGGGACCAGGUGCUGUAGGCU